Molecule: ribosomal RNA, 253 nt
Filed under: uncultured bacterium
Lineage: Bacteria
Description: partial 16S ribosomal RNA
Rfam family: Bacterial small subunit ribosomal RNA
Source: RNAcentral
UACAGAGGAUGCAAGCGUUAUCCGGAAUCACUGGGCAUAAAGCGUCUGUAGGUUGCGAAUUAAGUCUGUUGUUAAAGACUAGGGCUCAACCCUGGAACAGCAAUGGAAACUAAUACGCUUGAGUAUGGUAGAGGUAGAGGGAAUUCCUGGUGUAGCGGUGAAAUGCGUAGAUAUUAGGAAGAACACCAAUGGCGAAAGCACUCUACUGGGCCACAACUGACACUGAGAGACGACAGCUAGGGGAGCAAAUGGG